AUGGUGCAGCAACACGAUGUCAAUAUACUUGUCUGGAAGGACAACUUGGUGAGGCACAAGGAAGUUAUUAUGGGUUUAGUUCAGUUCAUAGGGCUGUGAGUCUUGUGAAUUUCUGCAGUAAUUACUUUCUGGAGCUCUCUUGCCUUCAUCUUUUACAGUUAGGUGAGUCUUGAUCACUCUAGUUUUGUCUAGUUAUUAGUGGACUCCCCAAGUUAUUUCCAAAUGACACUAUAAGCUUACUUGCAUAACCGAUAUUUUUAAAGUAGUUUUACAAUAAACUGAAUUGCCUCUUUGUAGUUAGUUGAUAGAAAGCCAUAUAAGGCUUCUUAUAUUGAUUAUGGUCUAUAAGCUAUCAGUACAGUUGUAGGCUUGCACAUUAAUAUUAUACUUAUAUACCGUGUACCCAUGUAAGAUGGUGUGCUGUUACAGAGAAAUUUUAAGUAACCUUGCAUUGCAUUCUUAGCAAUUUGUAUGAAAUUAUGUGGC
RNAcentral lists this long non-coding RNA (486 nucleotides) under Rosa chinensis. Its description in RNAcentral is "sRNA RchiOBHm_Chr7g0207371". Lineage: Eukaryota; Viridiplantae; Streptophyta; Magnoliopsida; Rosales; Rosaceae. The record is from RNAcentral.